AUCCAGCUGACGAGUCCAAAAUGGGACGAAACGCGCGUCCUGGAU
This is a non-coding RNA of Schistosoma mansoni, 45 nucleotides long. Lineage: Eukaryota; Metazoa; Platyhelminthes; Trematoda; Strigeidida; Schistosomatidae. The record is from Rfam.